RNAcentral lists this ribosomal RNA (249 nucleotides) under uncultured bacterium. RNAcentral describes it as "partial 16S ribosomal RNA". It matches the Rfam family "Bacterial small subunit ribosomal RNA", at positions 524 to 772 of the family's 1533-position model. The record is from RNAcentral.
GACGAACCGUCCGAACGUUAUUCGGAAUCACUGGGCUUACAGAGUUCGUAGGCGGUCUGGAAAGUUGGGUGUGAAAUCCCUCGGCUCAACCGAGGAACUGCGCUUGAAACUACCAGACUCGAGGGAGAUAGAGGAAAGCGGAACUGAUGGUGGAGCGGUGAAAUGCGUUGAUAUCAUCAGGAACACCGGUGGCGAAGGCGGCUUUCUGGGUCUUACCUGACGCUGAGGAACGAAAGCUAGGGGAGCGAA